RNAcentral lists this transfer RNA (72 nucleotides) under Ipomoea nil (Japanese morning glory). It matches the Rfam family "tRNA". Rfam says of the family: Transfer RNA (tRNA) molecules are approximately 80 nucleotides in length. Their secondary structure includes four short double-helical elements and three loops (D, anti-codon, and T loops). Further hydrogen bonds mediate the characteristic L-shaped molecular structure. tRNAs have two regions of fundamental functional importance: the anti-codon, which is responsible for specific mRNA codon recognition, and the 3' end, to which the tRNAs corresponding amino acid is attached (by aminoacyl-tRNA synthetases). tRNAs cope with the degeneracy of the genetic code in two manners: having more than one tRNA (with a specific anti-codon) for a particular amino acid; and 'wobble' base-pairing, i.e. permitting non-standard base-pairing at the 3rd anti-codon position. The record is from Rfam by way of RNAcentral. Lineage: Eukaryota; Viridiplantae; Streptophyta; Magnoliopsida; Solanales; Convolvulaceae.
GUUGUUGUAGUAUAGUGGUGAGUAUUCCCGUCUGUCACGCGGGUGACCCGGGUUCGAUUACCGGCAACGGUG